CCGCGUGGAGGAUGACGGCCCGUGGGUUGUAAACUCCUUUUCUUGGAGAAGAAUAACUGACGGUAUCCAAGGAAUAAGCAUCGGCUAACUCCGUGC
RNAcentral lists this ribosomal RNA (96 nucleotides) under uncultured bacterium. Its description in RNAcentral is "partial 16S ribosomal RNA". It matches the Rfam family "Bacterial small subunit ribosomal RNA", at positions 397 to 508 of the family's 1533-position model. The record is from RNAcentral.